Molecule: ribosomal RNA, 384 nt
Filed under: Heterotermes indicola
Lineage: Eukaryota; Metazoa; Arthropoda; Insecta; Blattodea; Rhinotermitidae
Description: partial small subunit ribosomal RNA
Source: RNAcentral
UAACUAGGAUUAGAUACCCUAUUAUUUUGAGUGUUAAUGUUUUUACCUGAGUAGUAUUAGUUGUGUUCUUGAAACUUAAAGAAUUUGGCGGUAUCCUACUCCGUUCAGAGGAAUCUGUCUCGUUAUCGAUAGUCCGCGUUGGACCUUACUUAGGGUUAAUUUUGGUUUGUAUACCGCCGUUUAUUGAUUAUCUUUUUAGAGUAUCUUGAAUUCUCUGGUUUCUUUAAUUUGAUUUAUUGCAGGUCAAGGUGCAGCUUUUUCUAAGUGUAAUGAUGGAUUACAGUGGUAUGUGUUGUUUGGAUUGUUUGUUUAAAUGUAGGCAUGAAAUUGGAUUUGGUUGUAAUGUUUUGUAGAUUGUUUUCAUGAUAGUUGGUUCUAGGAUAU